AGGGGGAACCCGGUGCGAAUCCGGGGCUGACGCGCAGCGGUGUGGGGACGGCAGGGGGCCGCUCCCGAGCCCGAAUGCCC
RNAcentral lists this non-coding RNA (80 nucleotides) under Kitasatospora albolonga. The record is from RNAcentral. Lineage: Bacteria; Bacillati; Actinomycetota; Actinomycetes; Kitasatosporales; Streptomycetaceae.